RNAcentral lists this ribosomal RNA (255 nucleotides) under uncultured bacterium. RNAcentral describes it as "partial 16S ribosomal RNA". It matches the Rfam family "Bacterial small subunit ribosomal RNA", at positions 524 to 776 of the family's 1533-position model. The record is from RNAcentral.
UACGUAGGGUGCAAGCGUUAAUCGGAAUUACUGGGCGUAAAGCGUGCGCAGGCGGUUCUAUAAGACAGAUGUGAAAUCCCCGGGCUCAACCUGGGAACUGCAUUUGUGACUGCAUAGCUAGAGUACGGUAGGAGGGGGAUGGAAUUCCGCGUGUAGCAGUGAAAUGCGUAGAUAUGCGGAGGAACACCGAUGGCGAAGGCAAUCCCCUGGACCUGUACUGACGCUCAUGCACGAAAGGCGUGGGGAGCAAACAGG